RNAcentral lists this long non-coding RNA (1341 nucleotides) under Lonchura striata (white-rumped munia). Its description in RNAcentral is "domestica (Bengalese finch) lncRNA (ENSLSDG00000016325.1)". The record is from RNAcentral. Lineage: Eukaryota; Metazoa; Chordata; Aves; Passeriformes; Estrildidae.
GAGCCCCGGAGCGCCCCGGCAGCCCCCCCGCCCAUGGAGCUGGCCCCGCAUUUGCAUCCCAACUUUUUUUAACUCUCCCACGUACACUUUACGUAUCGGCUACGUGGAGGCUCCGCGGCCGCUCCUAUAUAUCCUUACGCCGGGCACGGCCCCCGCUCCUCCGGCGGCUCCGGGCUCGGGGCCACCGCCGAGAGCCGCGGGCGGCGGGGCCGGGGCGAGCCGGGCAGGUGAGGGCAGGGCAGGGCAGGGCAGAGAGGGCAGGGGAGCGAGGGCACAGAGCCGUGCCAGGCUGGCAUGCAGGGCAGCGAAGGCAGGGCAGCGGUCCGGGCUGGCGAGCAGCGAGGGAGGCCAGCGCAGGCGGGACCCACCGGCCGCCGGGCGCAUCCCCGGCCGCCCCCAGGUGGGUGAAGAAGCCGGGGUAACCCCGGCGAAAGAAGCGAGCCCCGGGGUGCCGAGCAUCGCCCGCCCACCCCCGCCCCGCGCUGGCGGCCGGGCCGGGGCGCGGAGCCCCCGCGGAGCCCCCGCAGCUCCCGCGCCCCGCGCAGCCGGACAAACAAUGUGAGACUUGGCGGAACAAAAGCGGCGGGGCUUGGGUUGCUGAACACGUCUGAGGCCAGACGAGCCGCGCGAUUUAUUGGACUCGGAGAGCCCCGGCUCCGGCUCCGGGCCCGGCCCCGCUCUGCCCACGGAGGAGAAGCCGCGGCCCAGGCUGGACGUGGGUUCACCCUACCUGUUGCUCAUUUUCUGGCUGAUGAAUUGUAGGUCUCUGGUCAUGAGAGUUCACUGGGCAUAUCCUGAGCCUGGCCUGGAGCAUGAUGCGAUCCUGAUUUACAGCAGAGCCUGUCCAGGCUGCCCAGGGCUGCUGACCAGCACCGGGGGACACAGCCAGGCUGCAGAGGACACCGGGACGUGCCCACCCUGCCCACUGCACUGCGGGCCACUCGCCGGUGAAGAACGGAAGGCUGGAAGAAUAGGAAAAUUUUUUACAAAAAAGAAGAAAAGAAAGAAAAAGAGUCGCCAACCCCAGGAAAUCUGUGUUAAUUGCUUAUGAAUGUCUCUGUCUAAAAAAUUAUCGAAUUGAUGUUGUCGUGCUUUUUUUUGACAGCCUGUCUGUUACAUUUUUUUAAAAUAUUCAUGCACCGAAAUCUAAUUACUAGGCAAAUUUAAUGAUAAUGAAAUGAAGGCACUUUAGCAGAAAGCAUAGGGCCUUGUUAAUGUUUUCUCAGCCUCUGUCUUGUUCAUAUUUUUAAAAUUAUUUUUUUUACAACUGUCUUUCUUCCAUAUGAAAAAAAAAAGAUUGCUGAAAAUAAAACUCAGAUUGCCGAUAAUGUUUGUGGUGGU